Molecule: ribosomal RNA, 1207 nt
Filed under: Kocuria sp.
Lineage: Bacteria; Bacillati; Actinomycetota; Actinomycetes; Micrococcales; Micrococcaceae
Description: bacterial SSU rRNA
Rfam family: Bacterial small subunit ribosomal RNA
Source: RNAcentral
AACAUGGCAAAGUCGAACGAUGAUGCCCAGCUUGCUGGGCGGAUUAGUGGCGAACGGGUGAGUAAUACGUGAGUAACCUGCCCUUGACUCUGGGAUAAGCCUGGGAAACUGGGUCUAAUACUGGAUACUACCUCUUGCCGCAUGGUGGGUGGUGGAAAGGGUUUUACUGGUUUUGGAUGGGCUCACGGCCUAUCAGCUUGUUGGUGGGGUAAUGGCUCACCAAGGCGACGACGGGUAGCCGGCCUGAGAGGGUGACCGGCCACACUGGGACUGAGACACGGCCCAGACUCCUACGGGAGGCAGCAGUGGGGAAUAUUGCACAAUGGGCGGAAGCCUGAUGCAGCGACGCCGCGUGAGGGAUGACGGCCUUCGGGUUGUAAACCUCUUUCAGUAGGGAAGAAGCGAGAGUGACGGUACCUGCAGAAGAAGCGCCGGCUAACUACGUGCCAGCAGCCGCGGUAAUACGUAGGGCGCAAGCGUUGUCCGGAAUUAUUGGGCGUAAAGAGCUCGUAGGCGGUUUGUCGCGUCUGCUGUGAAAGCCCGGGGCUCAACCCCGGGUCUGCAGUGGGUACGGGCAGACUAGAGUGCAGUAGGGGAGACUGGAAUUCCUGGUGUAGCGGUGAAAUGCGCAGAUAUCAGGAGGAACACCGAUGGCGAAGGCAGGUCUCUGGGCUGUUACUGACGCUGAGGAGCGAAAGCAUGGGGAGCGAACAGGAUUAGAUACCCUGGUAGUCCAUGCCGUAAACGUUGGGCACUAGGUGUGGGGGACAUUCCACGUUUUCCGCGCCGUAGCUAACGCAUUAAGUGCCCCGCCUGGGGAGUACGGCCGCAAGGCUAAAACUCAAAGGAAUUGACGGGGGCCCGCACAAGCGGCGGAGCAUGCGGAUUAAUUCGAUGCAACGCGAAGAACCUUACCAAGGCUUGACAUUCACCGGACCGCCCCAGAGAUGGGGUUUCCCUUCGGGGCUGGUGGACAGGUGGUGCAUGGUUGUCGUCAGCUCGUGUCGUGAGAUGUUGGGUUAAGUCCCGCAACGAGCGCAACCCUCGUUCUAUGUUGCCAGCACGUGAUGGUGGGGACUCAUAGGAGACUGCCGGGGUCAACUCGAAGGAAAGUGGGGAUGACGUCAAAUCAUCAUGGCCCCUUAAGGCUUGGGCUUCACGCAUGCUACAAUGGGCCGGUACAAAGGGUUGCGAUACUGGGGAGUUG